UACAGCCAUAACACACUGAAACACUGGUUCCUAUACGAUCACUGAAGUUAAAUAAUAUCGAGCCAGGUCAGUAUCUAGAUGGGUGACCUCUUGGAAAUACCAGGUACUGUAAG
Non-coding RNA from Acanthosepion pharaonis, 113 nucleotides. The record is from the annotation of a GenBank genome assembly. NCBI's taxonomy places the organism in Eukaryota, Metazoa, Mollusca, Cephalopoda, Sepiida, Sepiidae.